CUGGAUAUCCAAGUCCAGAUUGUAUUAAUUUGAAGGGAUUGUAUCAUUAAGAAUAAUUAUAUCGCUGGAAGUACUGAAAACUUGAUACAAAAACAGAAAAACCUCGGGCCAAAUUAUAACUGGUUUCCCAUCAUACUGCCAUACUUUGGCCAGUGUAACGCUUGCUCUUGGGGGAAUUGUUGGGUUUUUGUAAAUUAUAGUGUGGUUUUACCCCCAAGUGUCCCGAGAUAACUUAUGUUAUGAUUUAACACUAUCAAUUUUAUUGAAUUAAUAAUUAAAAAGGUAUUAAAGUACAUUUUGUGUGGUACUAAAACAAUCUAAAAAAAAAAGUCUUAUGUUGAAUUAAAAAAACUGUGCAAGCUUCUGCAGUUUACUUGUAUGCAUUACAAUAUGCUGCAAGUGUUAACAAUACAAAUUCUAUAUUAUCCUCUGACUUUGAGUUCUGAGAAAAAAUACAAUUAAUUAAAAACAGUGAUUUUAUGCUGGAUCAUACUGAUGUAAUGAACUGACACUCAGAAGAUAGAGACGCUUCUCUAUUGAUGUGUACACUUUAACUGUAUCAUCCCUUAACACAAUAGUCCAUCAGAUACAAAAUGAGUUCCCCAAACAGAGAGGCCACCUGACCACACCUGAAGCAGGGAGGUUGAAUCAAACACUCCUGCAUGGGAACCGCCCCCUUCAGGUGCAAUCAAUCACACCAUUACAGACUAUAGAUUUACAGAC
Etheostoma cragini (Arkansas darter) is the source of this 723-nucleotide long non-coding RNA. RefSeq lists it as uncharacterized. The record is from RefSeq and is a predicted model, not a curated record. The transcript is spliced from 3 exons. NCBI's taxonomy places the organism in Eukaryota, Metazoa, Chordata, Actinopteri, Perciformes, Percidae.